This 296-nucleotide ribosomal RNA is filed under the name uncultured Lactobacillus sp. RNAcentral's name for it is "partial 16S ribosomal RNA". It matches the Rfam family "Bacterial small subunit ribosomal RNA", at positions 399 to 687 of the family's 1533-position model. Lineage: Bacteria; Bacillati; Bacillota; Bacilli; Lactobacillales; Lactobacillaceae. The record is from RNAcentral.
GCGUGUGUGAUGAAGGCUUUCGGGUCGUAAAGCACUGUUGUAUGGGAAGAAMUYCMMAAAUAGGGAAUGAUUUUAGUUUGACGGUACCAUACCAGAAAGGGACGGCUAAAUACGUGCCAGCAGCCGCGGUAAUACGUAUGUCCCGAGCGUUAUCCGGAUUUAUUGGGCGUAAAGCGAGCGCAGACGGUUGAUUAAGUCUGAUGUGAAAGCCCGGAGCUCAACUCCGGAAUGGCAUUGGAAACUGGUUAACUUGAGUGUUGUAGAGGUAAGUGGAACUCCAUGUGUAGCGGUGAAAU